This 253-nucleotide ribosomal RNA is filed under the name uncultured bacterium. RNAcentral describes it as "partial 16S ribosomal RNA". It matches the Rfam family "Bacterial small subunit ribosomal RNA", at positions 524 to 776 of the family's 1533-position model. The record is from RNAcentral.
UACGUAGGUGGCAAGCGUUGUCCGGAAUUAUUGGGCGUAAAGCGCGCGCAGGCGGUCCUUUAAGUCUGAUGUGAAAGCCCACGGCUCAACCGUGGAGGGUCAUUGGAAACUGGGGGACUUGAGUACAGAAGAGAAGAGUGGAAUUCCACGUGUAGCGGUGGAAUGCGUAGAGAUGUGGAGGAACACCAGUGGCGAAGGCGACUCUUUGGUCUGUAACUGACGCUGAGGCGCGAAAGCGUGGGGAGCAAACAGG